This 390-nucleotide long non-coding RNA is filed under the name Mytilus galloprovincialis (Mediterranean mussel). Lineage: Eukaryota; Metazoa; Mollusca; Bivalvia; Mytilida; Mytilidae. The record is from RNAcentral.
UACUGCAUAAAUCCAUGAUUUGAAAAAUAUUAGGACGAUGUCAGAAAGUCACAUUCCUUUAUGGAAAUAAAACCCGAUAGUUUGGACAAUCAUUUGAUAUUUUCAAUGGGCGGAAGGAUAGGAAGAUAAUCUGAUAUUGAAACACUGACUGUUCAAAGACAUUUUUGUUUGAUAUUUAAUUUAUAUGAAGGAUAUCUUGGUGUGGCGUAGGUAGCAAGUAAGGGGACAGCACUCGUCUGUUUAUAAGGAGUUAUCGUUGUAGUAAACGCAUCAACACGAAAGUUUCCGAAUGACAAGAGUUAUCUCCCAUUUCGUCUAUCAUAUUGAAAACGACAUGUUUGCCAGUUACGUAGCUUUCGCCGGGAAAUUUGAAUAUUCUGACACGAAUGC